This 75-nucleotide transfer RNA is filed under the name Acidobacteriota bacterium. Its description in RNAcentral is "tRNA-Gly". It matches the Rfam family "tRNA". Rfam says of the family: Transfer RNA (tRNA) molecules are approximately 80 nucleotides in length. Lineage: Bacteria; Pseudomonadati; Acidobacteriota. The record is from RNAcentral.
GCGGGAGUAACUCAUUGGUAGAGUCACAGCUUCCCGAGAUGUUGGUCGCGGGUUCGAUCCCCGUCUCCCGCUCCA